RNAcentral lists this ribosomal RNA (253 nucleotides) under uncultured bacterium. RNAcentral describes it as "partial 16S ribosomal RNA". It matches the Rfam family "Bacterial small subunit ribosomal RNA", at positions 524 to 776 of the family's 1533-position model. The record is from RNAcentral.
UACGGGGGGGGCAAGCGUUGUUCGGAAUUACUGGGCGUAAAGGGCUCGUAGGCGGCCAACUAAGUCAGACGUGAAGUCCCUCGGCUUAACCGGGGAACUGCGUCUGAUACUGGAUGGCUAGAGGUUGGGAGAGGGAUGCGGAAUUCCAGGUGUAGCGGUGAAAUGCGUAGAUAUCUGGAGGAACACCGGUGGCGAAGGCGGCAUCCUGGACCAAUUCUGACGCUGAGGAGCGAAAGCCAGGGGAGCAAACGGG